CACUCCUGCGGGAGGCAGCAGUGAGGAAUAUUGGACCAUGGGUGGAAGCCUGAUCCAGCCAUCCCGCGUGCAGGAAGACGGCCCUAUGGGUUGUAAACUGCUUUUAUCUGGGGAUAAACCUACUUACGUGUAAGUAGCUGAAGGUACCAGAAGAAUAAGCACCGGCUAACUCCGUGCCAGCAGCCGCGGUAAUACGGAGGGUGCAAGCGUUAUCCGGAUUUAUUGGGUUUAAAGGGUCCGUAGGCGGACUGAUAAGUCAGUGGUGAAAUCCGACAGCUUAACUGUCGAACUGCCAUUGAUACUGUUAGUCUUGAGUAAGGUUGAAGUGGCUGGAAUAAGUAGUGUAGCGGUGAAAUGCAUAGAUAUUACUUAGAACACCAAUUGCGAAGGCAGGUCACUAAGUCUUAACUGACGCUGAUGGACGAAAGCGUGGGGAGCGAACAGGAUUAGAAACCCGGGUAGUCCC
RNAcentral lists this ribosomal RNA (466 nucleotides) under uncultured organism. RNAcentral's name for it is "partial 16S ribosomal RNA". It matches the Rfam family "Bacterial small subunit ribosomal RNA", at positions 334 to 797 of the family's 1533-position model. The record is from RNAcentral.